Molecule: non-coding RNA, 863 nt
Organism: Podarcis lilfordi (Lilford's wall lizard)
Lineage: Eukaryota; Metazoa; Chordata; Lepidosauria; Squamata; Lacertidae
Source: the annotation of a GenBank genome assembly
GCCGUGAGAUGUUUGGGGUUGUGGGGGCUCUUAAUUCUGGAGGGACUUUGAAACAUGUUUUUAAAUACCACGUGGAGUUUAGUGUGGACUAUGGAAAAGGGGCUGAUUUGUCGAGAAGGGUCAAAAACACUGUCAAGUUGGAGUUUCCACGAGUGAAAGGAGCAGGAGACAAAGUAAAGUACAGGUAUAAAUAUGAAGAAGAGCUGCGGAAGGGACAUGGAAGAGACUUAAGGGCCUUGGACAUAAGAUUACCAGGUUAAUGCGCUAGAUUGAUGGGAUAGAAAGGACUGACAAAACCCGGGACCAGGAGGAAGAGACGCUGGAUGAAGAUUGGAAGAAAGUUUGAAUUUUUUUUUUAUUAGGAUUGUUUUAUAAAAUUGAUGAAUGUUAGAAAAAUGUUGGAACGAAAUUAUUUGGCUUUAGCAAAAAUGUUAAAAGAAUUAUGUAAGAAUAUGUUAUGGUUAUGAGAAAUUGGUAUAAAUAAGAUCUAAGUUUUAAGUUUUAGGGUCUUUUAUAGUAAGAUAAGGUUAAAAUAGAUUAAGGUAAUUUAAUGACAGAAUACUAUGAAAAAUGGAAAGGAUUUGCUGCGAUAAUUAACAACUAGGAUACAAAAAAGGGAGGAGUGAGGAGGUCGAUGAAAUAAGGCAAUGACAGUUAAGGAUUUGGGAAUAUUGGAUUUGUUUUUAAAUUUUUGUGGCUUAUUUUUGCUUUUUGAUUGUGUUGUGUUACGUGUUUUGUUGUUAUUUUUUUGAUUUUGAUUUUUAUCAAUUUGUAUUGUUUGAUUGAGGUUUGUUUUUCUUUUGUUUUUUCUCUUUCUUUUUCUUUUUGUUUUUCCUGUAAUUUUAAAAUUCUUAAUAAAUAUC